GGGUCCCUUUAAAUUGAAAUCAACAUCAGGCAUGGAGAUCUUGGGGGUCUUGAAGUGCAUCUCAGGCAUCUUAAACUUGGGCCCUUUCAACUUUGCAUCAGGACACUCCAGCUCAACAUCAGGCACCUCCACACCCACACUGGGACCUGUUAAAUCUCCCUCCAAUUUUGGCACCGACACAUCCACAUCCCCUUUGACUUUGGGGCCUUUCAAGUGUAAGUCCACAUCAGGCAUGGAGAUCUUGGGGGCCUUGAAGUGCAUCUCAGGCAUCUUAAACUUGG
RNAcentral lists this long non-coding RNA (281 nucleotides) under Homo sapiens (human). RNAcentral describes it as "HSALNT0176200". Lineage: Eukaryota; Metazoa; Chordata; Mammalia; Primates; Hominidae. The record is from RNAcentral.